This 724-nucleotide ribosomal RNA is filed under the name uncultured bacterium. RNAcentral's name for it is "bacterial SSU rRNA". It matches the Rfam family "Bacterial small subunit ribosomal RNA", at positions 28 to 776 of the family's 1533-position model. The record is from RNAcentral.
GAUGAACGCUGACAGAAUGCUUAACACAUGCAAGUCUACUUGAUCCUUCGGGUGAUGGUGGCGGACGGGUGAGUAACGCGUAAAGAACUUGCCCUGCAGUCUGGGACAACAUUUGGAAACGAAUGCUAAUACCGGAUAUUAUGUGAGUUUCGCGUGAAAUUCAUAUGAAAGCUAUAUGCGCUGCAGGAGAGCUUUGCGUCCUAUUAGCUAGUUGGUGAGGUAACGGCUCACCAAGGCGAUGAUAGGUAGCCGGCCUGAGAGGGUGAACGGCCACAAGGGGACUGAGACACGGCCCUUACUCCUACGGGAGGCAGCAGUGGGGAAUAUUGGACAAUGGACCAAAAGUCUGAUCCAGCAAUUCUGUGUGCACGAUGAAGUUUUUCGGAAUGUAAAGUGCUUUCAGUUGGGACGAAGUAAGUGACGGUACCAACAGAAGAAGCGACGGCUAAAUACGUGCCAGCAGCCGCGGUAAUACGUAUGUCGCAAGCGUUAUCCGGAUUUAUUGGGCGUAAAGCGCGUCUAGGCGGUUUGGUAAGUCUGAUGUGAAAAUGCGGGGCUCAACUCCGUAUUGCGUUGGAAACUGCCAAACUAGAGUACUGGAGAGGUGGGCGGAACUACAAGUGUAGAGGUGAAAUUCGUAGAUAUUUGUAGGAAUGCCGAUGGGGAAGCCAGCCCACUGGACAGAUACUGACGCUAAAGCGCGAAAGCGUGGGUAGCAAACAGG